CAGAAAAUAGUUUUAUUUAAAAUAUUAAUAUUGGGAAUUAAUGAAAAGAAGGUUUCUUUUUUCUGA
RNAcentral lists this transfer RNA (66 nucleotides) under Athalia scapulata. RNAcentral describes it as "tRNA-Pro". The record is from RNAcentral. RNAcentral also lists the same sequence under 1 other name. Lineage: Eukaryota; Metazoa; Arthropoda; Insecta; Hymenoptera; Athaliidae.